This 301-nucleotide ribosomal RNA is filed under the name uncultured bacterium. RNAcentral's name for it is "partial 16S ribosomal RNA". It matches the Rfam family "Bacterial small subunit ribosomal RNA", at positions 509 to 807 of the family's 1533-position model. The record is from RNAcentral.
CAGCAGCCACGGUAAUACGAAGGGGGCUAGCGUUGUUCGGAUUUACUGGGCGUAAAGGGCGCGUAGGCGGACUGAUAAGUCAGGGGUGAAAUCCCAAGGCUCAACAUUGGAACUGCCUUUGAUACUGUUUGUCUUGAGUUCGAGAGAGGUAAGUGGAACUGCGAGUGUAGAGGUGAAAUUCGUAGAUAUUCGCAAGAACACCAGUGGCGAAGGCGGCCUACUGGCUCGAAACUGACGCUGAGGCGCGAAAGCGUGGGGAGCAAACAGGAUUAGAUACCCGCGUAGUCCCUGUCUCUUAUAC